RNAcentral lists this ribosomal RNA (520 nucleotides) under uncultured Glomus. RNAcentral's name for it is "SSU rRNA". It matches the Rfam family "Eukaryotic small subunit ribosomal RNA", at positions 569 to 1090 of the family's 1831-position model. Lineage: Eukaryota; Fungi; Glomeromycota; Glomeromycetes; Glomerales; Glomeraceae. The record is from RNAcentral.
AGCAGCCGCGGUAAUUCCAGCUCCAAUAGCGUAUAUUAAAGUUGUUGCAGUUAAAAAGCUCGUAGUUGAAUUUCGGGGUUAGUAGGUUGGUCAUGCCUCUGGUAUGUACUAGUCUCACUGAUUCCUCCUUCCUGAUGAGCCGUAAUGCCAUUAAUUUGGUGUUGCGGGGAAUUUGGACUGUUACUUUGAAAAAAUUAGAGUGUUUAAAGCAGGCUCACGCUUGAAUACAUUAGCAUGGAAUAAUGAAAUAGGACGUUUGAUUCUAUUUUGUUGGUUUCUAGGAUUGACGUAAUGAUUAAUAGGGAUAGUUGGGGGCAUUAGUAUUCAAUUGUCAGAGGUGAAAUUCUUGGAUUUAUUGAAGACUAACUACUGCGAAAGCAUUUGCCAAGGAUGUUUUCAUUAAUCAAGAGCGAAAGUUAGGGGAUCGAAGACGAUCAGAUACCGUCGUAGUCUUAACCAUAAACUAUGCCGACUAGGGAUCGGAUGAUGUUAAUUUUUUAAUGACUCAUUCGGCGCCUUA